Molecule: ribosomal RNA, 661 nt
Filed under: uncultured bacterium
Lineage: Bacteria
Description: bacterial SSU rRNA
Rfam family: Bacterial small subunit ribosomal RNA
Source: RNAcentral
CAAGCCCUCACUGAAGGAUGAGUUCGCGUACCAUUAGCUUGUUGGUAGGGUAAUGGCCUACCAAGGCGACGAUGGUUAGCUGGUCUGAGAGGAUGAUCAGCCACACUGGAACUGAGACACGGUCCAGACUCCUACGGGAGGCAGCAGUGAGGAAUCUUGCGCAAUGGGGGAAACCCUGACGCAGCAACGCCGCGUGAGUGAGGAAGGUCUUCGGAUCGUAAAGCUCUGUCAGUUGGAAAGAAAUGUCUGAGAGUCAAUCCCUUUCAGGCUUGACGGUACCAACAGAGGAAGCACCGGCUAACUCCGUGCCAGCAGCCGCGGUAAUACGGGGGGUGCAAGCGUUGUUCGGAAUUAUUGGGCGUAAAGAGCGUGUAGGCGGCCGGAUAUGUCAGGUGUGAAAGCCCCGGGCUUAACCCGGGAAGUGCAUUUGAAACUGUCCGGCUCGAGUAGGGGAGAGGGAAGUGGAAUUCCUGGUGUAGAGGUGAAAUUCGUAGAUAUCAGGAGGAACACCGGUGGCGAAGGCGACUUCCUGACCCUAUACUGACGCUGAGACGCGAGAGCGUGGGUAGCAAACAGGAUUAGAUACCCUGGUAGUCCACGCCGUAAACGAUGUUCACUAGGUGUUGGGGGUAUUGACCCUCUCAGUGCCGGAGCUAACGCA